AACAGGAUUAGAUACCCUGGUAGUCCGCACGGUAAACGAUGGAUGCCCGCUGUUAGCGCCUGGCGUUAGCGGCUAAGCGAAAGCAUUAAGCAUCCCACCUGGGGAGUACGCCGGCAACGGUGAAACUCAAAGGAAUUGACGGGGGCCCGCACAAGCGGAGGAACAUGUGGUUUAAUUCGAUGAUACGCGAGGAACCUUACCCGGGCUUGAAUUGCAGACGCAGGAUACAGAGAUGUUGACUCCCUUCGGGGCGUCUGUGAAGGUGCUGCAUGGUUGUCGUCAGCUCGUGCCGUGAGGUGUCGGCUUAAGUGCCAUAACGAGCGCAACCCCUUUCCUUAGUUGCCAUCAGGUCAUGCUGGGCACUCUGGGGAUACUGCCACCGCAAGGUGUGAGGAAGGUGGGGAUGACGUCAAAUCAGCACGGCCCUUACGUCCGGGGCUACACACGUGUUACAAUGGCCGGUACAGAGGGACGGUGCAAUGUAAAUUGCAUCCAAUCUUGAAAGCCGGUCCCAGUUCGGACUGAGGUCUGCAACCCGACCUCACGAAGCUGGAUUCGCUAGUAAUCGCGCAUCAGCCAUGGCGCGGUGAAUACGUUCCCGGGCCUUGUACACACCGCCCGUCAAGCCAUGAAAGCCGGGGGUGCCUGAAGUUCGUAACCGCGAGGAGCGACCUAGGGCAAAACUGGUGAUUGGGGCUAAGUCGUAACAAGGUAGCCGUACCGGAAGGUGCGGCUG
RNAcentral lists this ribosomal RNA (736 nucleotides) under metagenome. Its description in RNAcentral is "bacterial SSU rRNA". It matches the Rfam family "Bacterial small subunit ribosomal RNA", at positions 771 to 1520 of the family's 1533-position model. The record is from RNAcentral.